This 253-nucleotide ribosomal RNA is filed under the name uncultured prokaryote. Its description in RNAcentral is "partial 16S ribosomal RNA". It matches the Rfam family "Bacterial small subunit ribosomal RNA", at positions 524 to 776 of the family's 1533-position model. The record is from RNAcentral.
GACAGAGGGGGCAAGCGUUGCUCGGAAUUACUGGGCGUAAAGGGCGCGUAGGCGGGAUGGCAAGUCGGUCGUGAAAUCCCUCGGCUCAACUGAGGAGCGUCGAUCGAAACUGCCGUUCUUGAGGGUUGCAGAGGAGACUGGAAUUCCCGGUGUAGCGGUGAAAUGCGCAGAUAUCGGGAAGAACACCCGUGGCGAAGGCGGCUCUCUGGAACGCAACUGACGCUGAGACGCGAAAGCGUGGGGAGCAAACAGG